RNAcentral lists this ribosomal RNA (747 nucleotides) under Lulesia mundula. Its description in RNAcentral is "Clitocella mundula partial large subunit ribosomal RNA". It matches the Rfam family "Eukaryotic large subunit ribosomal RNA", at positions 229 to 965 of the family's 3401-position model. Lineage: Eukaryota; Fungi; Basidiomycota; Agaricomycetes; Agaricales; Entolomataceae. The record is from RNAcentral.
CGGACUACCAGGGCUUUGUGAUACGCUCUCGAAGAGUCGAGUUGUUUGGGAAUGCAGCUCUAAAUGGGUGGUAAAUUCCAUCUAAAGCUAAAUAUUGGCGAGAGACCGAUAGCGAACAAGUACCGUGAGGGAAAGAUGAAAAGAACUUUGGAAAGAGAGUUAAACAGUACGUGAAAUUGUUGAAAGGGAAACGCUUGAAGUCAGUCACGUUGGCUAGGAAUCAGCCUUGCUUUUGCUUGGUGUAUUUCCUGGUUUUAACGGGUCAGCAUCAAUUUCGACCGAUGGAAAAAGGUCGGGGGAAUGUGGCAUCUUAGGAUGUGUUAUAGCCCCUGGUCGUAUACAUCGGUUGGGAUUGAGGAACUCAGCACGCCGCAAGGUCGGGUUAUCUAACCACGUUCGUGCUUAGGAUGCUGGCAUAAUGGCUUUAAUCGACCCGUCUUGAAACACGGACCAAGGAGUCUAACAUGCCUGCGAGUGUUUGGGUGGAAAACCCGAGCGCGUAAUGAAAGUGAAAGUUGAGAUCCCUGUCGUGGGGAGCAUCGACGCCCGGACCAGACCUUCUGUGACGGAUCCGCGGUAGAGCAUGUAUGUUGGGACCCGAAAGAUGGUGAACUAUGCCUGAAUAGGGUGAAGCCAGAGGAAACUCUGGUGGAGGCUCGUAGCGAUUCUGACGUGCAAAUCGAUCGUCAAAUUUGGGUAUAGGGGCGAAAGACUAAUCGAACCAUCUAGUAGCUGGUUCCUGCCGAA